This 25551-nucleotide long non-coding RNA is filed under the name Citrus x clementina. Its description in RNAcentral is "Citrus clementina (C. clementina) long non-coding RNA (CCLE_LNC004423)". The record is from RNAcentral. Lineage: Eukaryota; Viridiplantae; Streptophyta; Magnoliopsida; Sapindales; Rutaceae.
GAAUGGUCCAUGGAGAUUAUCAGACUAAAGCCAUCAUUUGCCAGGAAGCUAAACCAAGAUGGCUUCUCUCCGGUGCAUUUAGCUUUGCAAAAUGAUCAAACUCAGUUAGUGCUUCAGCUGAUAGAUAUUGAUCCGGACCUUGUUCGUGUCCAAGGAAGAGAAGGCAUCACUCCUUUGCAUUUCGUGUCUGAAAAAGGAGACAUCCAUCUGUUGAGGGAAUUUUUGUCUGCUUGUCCGAAAUCUCUUGAAGAUGUGACCAAUAAAGGCGAGACUGCUCUUCAUAUUGCUUUGAAAAACAAUAACGUCGAAGCUUUUGAUCAAGCCUUAACAACAGUACAACCACCGUGGUUUGACCUUGAAGAAGCUCAACAAUACAAUCCAGGAAUCCUCAACUUGAAGGAUAGGGAUGGCAACACUUUGUUACACAUAGCAACAUCCAAAAGUCAAGUCCAGGCAAGCUCGAAUUCACACACACACAUAUAUAGAAAUUUUCCAAUGAGGUGCAGGCACCCUCAUUUUUUCCUUUUUAAUAUAGACAUGCUGUCUUUUCUUUUUUAAUAUAGACAUGCCGUUAAAUCACGUGCUUUAAUAUAGAUAAUUCUUAAUUCAUUAUAAAGCCAUAUAUUUUAAUAGCAUACCUGUAUAUAGUUUAAUAACGUAUCCGCAUGAGAAAAAAAUGAAAGUGUUUGCAUGAAAAAAAGGACUAUAUAAAUAUAUAUAUAUAUAUAUAUAUAGUAUCUAAUGAACUUAUCUUUAUUUCAACAAAGUAAGGAUGCCAUUAAUAAAUAUAAAAAGAAAAUCUUGAAUAAAUUAAAAUAUGUGUUCUUUUGUAUUUUAUUUACAUCUUUACUUCAUUAAAGUUUCUCUCAUAUACGGUCACAAAUAAAAUUCACAAAUAAAAUUCAGUUGAAUGAUGAUUAGACAGAUUAUUGCUAUUUCCACUUCCUGAUGAUGUCUAAAUUGAUGAAUUUGCUCAUCCAAAGCAGAUUGUAAGGCGUUUAUGGAAUUGCAAAGUUGAUACAAAUGCCCAGAAUUCGGAAGGUUUGACACCUUUAGAUAUUUCAUUACUUGAUCAAACUAAAUCAGAAAACCAAGAGAUUGCGGCAAAGCUGCGGGAAGCUGGAGCACUAGAGGCAACUUCACUUCCUACUACCGACAAGGAUAGACAUUUAUCGAGGUAACAGGAACACUGCUCUUUUACUAAAUUACAGUCCAUUUAUCGAUUAUCUUUUUAAAAACAAUAUGGCAUUUUCAUACUAUGUACAUCUCAAAAAUUGUUUAAUGUCCUUCAGAAGUAAGGAUCAGAGGCUGAACGAGGCUGCUAAAACAGGAAAUGUUGAUGCCUUGUAUGAAUUAAUAUGUGAGGACGCAUAUCUUUUAGAUCAGAUAGACGAAGUACCAUUCGUGGAUACUCCUUUACAUAUAGCAGCAUCAAUGGGGCAUGUCAACUUUGCCCUGGAGAUAAUGAGGUUAAAGCCAUCAUUUGCAAGAAAGCAAAACCAAUAUGGAUUUAGUCCCCUGCAUCUUGCUUUGCAGAAGAAAGAUACCCAAAUGGUGCGUCGGCUCAUAGAUGUGGACAGAAAUCUUGUUCGUGUCCAAGGAAGGGAGGGUGUAACGCCUCUACACUAUGUUGCUGAGAAAGGAAAUGUCGAUAUUCUAUGCCAACUUCUAGAGGCUUGCCCUGAGUCCAUCACAGAGGUGACAAUCCGUAAAGAGACUGCUUUGCAUGUUGCUGCAAAAAAUGACCAGUUGGAGGCCGUUGAGUGCAUGCUAGGAUGGCUUCGAUAUGUCGAUAUGGAGGAUAUCCUUAACUGGACGGACGAUGAAGGCAACACUUUAUUGCAUAUCACAAUCUCCAAAAGUCAAAUAAAGGCAUGAAAUUUUUUUAAAUUUUACUUCAGUUAGUCCCUAUAUUUUCAUGAUUAUUAAUUGCAUGCAUAUAUAAAUAUAUCCUUGCAGUUGGUGAGGCUACUAGUUAAAAGAGCACGUGAUCAAAUAAAUGCUCGGAACUUAGGCGAUAAGACACCCAUGGACAUGGUAGAAGAACAUUUGCGAGGGAAACCUGAAUUUAAAGAAGUAACACGCAUGGUGCGCAAAGCUGGCGGCCGACAAGAGUCCUCCCCUCCUCCUCGUAGGGACGUUGCAGGUUACUUAAAACAAGGUUUGACAUGUCGUCGAAAGGUGCUUUUGUUCUUUUACCGCUCAUCACAGCGCAUUACGGAUGAAAAUCGAAGCGCACUACUUGUGGUUGCUAUACUAAUCGCGACAGCCACAUUCCAAGCAGCGCUUACCCCGUCUGACGAUCUUGAGGGAAAUAAGUCAACUGGAACCCCCAACUCUAUUGCCACUAAUGGAUCACACUCAUCAUCGACAUCGGCAUCGACGUGGGCAUCAGUAUGGGCAUCAGUAAACCAAUCAGGAACAGCAAAUGCAACGGCCUUUGGUGUGAGCAAUGGAACCAGCAGCAGCAUCCCAACAAGUGACAAGAUUCUAUUCGCUCCGGGGCAAUUAUAUCCUGAAGCCAUUAGUGAUACGAUCUCCACACUUUUCGCAUUUUCAAAUAUUACAGCAUUUUUUAUAUCUAUGCUGGUGAUUAAUUAUCACCUCCCGUAUGGCUCCGCAGCUACUCUGGUAUAUCCUCUAGUUAUUUGCUUUUGCCUGUUAGUGGUUGGCAGAACCCCGGUGUCGCUACUUGCCUCACUUUCAAUGCUUAUCGUCUUUCGGAUUUGUUUAUUUGUACAACUGGACUUCUCCAAGAUUCGAUUUAGACGAAGCUUCUGGAUUACACAAGUUUUGGGCUCCGUUUUCAAACAUUAUAGAAGCUUCCUCAAUAAGAUAAUGAAAGAUGCUGAAAAAUAGCUAUAAUGCCAAUAUGCUGCCAUGGAUAAAACACAUGUCCGUUGGUCUGUUGAUGUUCUCUGCUGGCUUGGCUUUAUCUACUUAGUGUGACACUUCCUCUCAAGUAAUAUUGCUGGUUUUAUUUUGCGUAAGAAGGUGUGCUUUUGUGUACUGUAUUUUCUGAAUUAUGUUCGUUUGCUUUUGCUUCAUUUUGUAAGGUCUUCGCAUGUUUCAAUGUAAUAUUAAUUACUCUUGUUGUAUCUGAUAGUUGUACUGUUCACCUUCGUGACUGUGAAUAUAAUGAUGUUAAUUUAAUUAAAACUAUAUGCUUGUUUGUUUGAUAAGAAAAUGAAGGAAAAUUUAUUGACUUAGAGAGGAAAAACAGAGAUUGAAACUAUAUGCAUCUGGAACUUUCCAAGUGUAACAGAAUCAUAUACACACUCUCUGAUAUUCACCAUAACAAUUUGGUGGGAAAUAAAAAACUUUUAACAACUUGCAUUACAAUCUUCCAGUAGGUUCCAGCAGCUUGUCCAGCUUGGCAUCUGACAUCAAUUAGUUGACUCAACUUAUUCUUAACAAAUUUUUAUGAACAUAUGAAAUAUCAAUAUCAUUGGGCUUUUGAUGCUCCCACCCACAGGCUACUUAAAAUUGUACCUAUAAAAGUCUGUUAGAAGAAAAGCUGAUUCAAAAUACUUACGGCAAUAUAUGAAGAAAAACAAUCAACAAACAGCAAACACACAAACAUAGCAAUAAAAGAAGACAAGGCAAUGUUUGAUGAGAUUAAAAAGCUGACACAUGUAGCAUAUAUAUUUACGUUUUCUUGGAGAGAGGAAACCGCUGUUGGAUCUUCAUUGAUGAACCCUUCAACAGGCCUCCAAAAGGCUCUGCUGGGUCAUAAUAAAUCGCAACAUCCCCUGGCCUAAUUGAUUCAUCAACCUAUGUAUCAGGUUUUUCAUUCAUCAGCAAAGAGUUUCAGCAAUUGAUCUAAAAAAUAAAGACUGCUUUUGACACUCUAUAUAUAUGUGUGUGUGUGUGUGUGUCUUUUCCAGACAUUAGCAGAUCUAAAAUACUGUAGUAGAACAUACAUACAUAUGUAUAUGUAUAUAUAUCCAGCGGCUCAUGGAGCCCUUUUUCUUUUUUUCUUUUUAUUUUGCAGGCUGCACGUGGUGGGAGCGCCCUUUAUCCUCCUCUUUUUUUUUUUAAUUUUGCAGGCUGCGCGUGGUGGACCUUUGAUGUCCCGCAUCGGAUUACUAUCCUCUCUCUCUCUCUCUCUAUAUAAUUGUCCAGUUAUUUCUAAAUUUUAAGCAAUUUAGAUUUAGUGAUGAUUUAAAUGUCAAAAUUUAAAAUUUUUAUUUUUCUUUUUGAAAUUUCGAUAUCCAAGAGAUUGCAGUAAUAAUAACCCAAUUAAACUUCCACCAGUGAAACCACUUCUCCAUGAGAUCUUAUUGUAAAUGCACAAAAAGUUGAGGGUACCAUGCAUAUACAGGAGCGCCGUAGCUGAACCCUCAAAUUAUUUAAUUGAGGACAAAUUGUAAAAAGAUAACCUUAUUAUCGAAGUCAUGGAGUUCUAAUAUGAAAAUGGCUAUAGCUUUCUAUUGGAACAGAAGCCUGUUAAAAUAUAAUAUUUCUCUCUAAAAUCAUCUAACAAAUUAAUAAUGAAGAUUUCUUUAUAAUGUUGUAUGAGUUUUUAUAGUAUUAAUAGUCGAAUUGUUGUAGAUUCUUGAAUUUUAAUGUUUUAAUCUCUACCAUUCAUUUGAUAUAGUGGAUAAAAAAAAUUAAUUAUUUAAAUAAUAACAGGUAACCUUCAGGUUGCAAGUAAAUGUGGAUUUUUUUUUUUAAAGAAAAUUUAUAUUAUGUUGGAUAAAAACCCCACAUUCAAUGGUGGGAUCAUUUGAUUUAAUAUUAUAAUCUUUACCCUUAAUUUAAUUUUAAUAGUUAAGUAAUUAUGUAGCAAAUAAUUUGCAAGUUGUGAUAUUUCUUCAUACUUUAAAUUAUUUUUUAUCUAAUCAACUGAUAAAUACAAAUAAUUAAUUUUGGAAUUAAAAUUGUUAUGUACUGGUUCUAUCACUUUACAAUUUUACAUUUUUUUUUUUGCUUUUACAUUUAGCAUUAAAAAUAUAUGUAAUAACAUUAAAAUAAAUGUAAUUAACCAGUAAUAUUAUUUCAACAAUACUUUAUUUAAAGAUAUUUCAUAAAAUCUUAUAACAAUUUGUAUUGUAUGAAUUUAAUUACAAAGCCAUUAAUACUUAGACAAUAAUGAAUUGGCAAUGGAGAUUAUUAAGCUAAAGCCUUCAUUUGCCAAGAAGCCCAACCAAGAUGGCUUCUCUCCCAUGCACUUGGCUUUGCGAAAAUGGUCAAACUCAAACAGUGCUUCAGUUGAUAGAUACUGAUCCGGAACUCGUUCGUGUUAAAGGAAGGGAAGGCAUCACUCCUCUGCAUCAUGCGUCUGAAGAUGGAGACCUGUAUCUCUUGGAGAAAUUUUUGUCUGUUUGUCUGAAAUCUCUUGAAGAUGUGACAAAUAAAAGCGACACUGCUCUUCAUAUUGCUUUGAAAAACGAUAAGGUUGAAGCUUUUCAAGUCCUAACAAGAUGCCCUCCGUCGGUCAUUGGCCUUAAAGAAGCUGAUCAAUGCUACAACAAAAGAAUCCUCAACUCGAAAAAUAGGGAUGGCAGCACUCUGCUACACAUUGCAACAUCAAAAAAUCAAGUCCAGGCAAGCUUGAAUUAAUAUGCUAAAAAAAUCGGUUGAGUGAUUACAUUAUUGAUAUUGCCACCUGUUUUUUGUUUUAAAGUUUCAGAGUUUGUAUAUUACAUAGUGUCGCGCCUUCUAUUUUUGUGAGCUGUAGAGCUCUCACUCACACCUAACUUACUUAGGACCGUUUUCUAAGUAUUUAGGGAGUAGAUGAUUCCUAAUUAAUUAGAUUAGGAGUAAGUUUUUCUAAAGAUAAUCAUGCACAUAUUAUUAUGUUUUCCCUUUUAAGUAUGGUUUCUUCUCAUUCGAUUAGGAUACCUUAUAGUAGCAAUAUUACUUAAGACUUGUAUAUAAAGACCUCUUUGCAAGCAUAUAAUACAACAAGAUCUAAGCCAUAAUUAAUUUGCUCUCUAAGUUCCCACAUUCUCUCUUUCUUUGCCGUGAUGCUACAUUAAGAGUGUGAAAAUCAGAAAAAGGACAAAAGACCCCUGUGGUUUAGUGAAAUAGUUAUGAAACCUACUUAUUUUUAGAAAUAAUCAUAAAUACACCUUUUAGGAUACACAAACCCAAUUUAUUUGCCAAACUUUAGGGGUCUAUAUGACUUUUCUAAAUGUGAAAAUGAUUUACAUGUCCCCAAAAGGGGUAAUGUCGGACUAUUUCUGAAAACAAUCAGUCUCUAUAUGAUCAAUUUACUGAAUUUAUGAGUGUUGAUGUCUUUUUUCCUACUACAUCUUAUAGCUUAAACACAGACUCACAAGCAAAUAAAGAAUUGAUUUUUUCCAUAUUAAACAUGUCUCAUUACGUUAUUCUAGUUUUGUACCAUAUUGUUACAUUCCUUCAUCAUCUAGACCUAAUAUCAAUGGCUUUCAAUCAAUUACAUUACAUUACAAAAUGAUGUAGAAGAUAUCAUAUGAUAUUUGUCUUAUUACAGUAUUACACAUGACAUUGCAACCUUAAUUAAUAUAAUCAACCUAGAGUGUUCUUGCUCUACAAGUUAUACACUAGGUGAAAUCAUAGCCCUUGAUUUUGACACUUGAUGAAGAUUCAAUCAUUACUUGAUAACUUGUAGAAUUCAAAUCAAAUGCUUCUCUGAAGCAUUUCAUCAAACAACUUAUUCCAAAUAUCAAACACCCACUCUUUUAACUUCAAAACUACCUAACGACUUUGUAUUCACAUGUCCCAGCAGAUUGUAACGAGUUUAUUGAACUGCAAAGUUGAAAUAAAUUCUUUGAAUUCUGAUGGCUUGACACCUUUAGAUAUUACAUUACUUGAUCAAACUCAGUCAAGAAAUCAGGAGAUUGAGGAUAUGCUAUGCAGCGCUGGAGCAUUAGAAGCAACUCCACUUCCUAUUAUGGCCAACUGCACAAAUGUAUUGAGGUAAAACAACUCUUUUGCUAAACUAUGGUCCAUAUAUGGAUAAUAAUUUUAAAUAAUAUAUUUCAUUAAUUUGCAUUUUCCAUGUUAUGCACAUUGUAAUUACUUGCUAAGAAUAUUGCUUAAAUCAAUUAAUUAAUGUCCUUCAGAACGGAUCAGAGGUUGAACGAGGCUGCUCAAGUAGGAAAUGUUGAUGCCUUGUAUGAAUUAAUAUGGGAGGACGCAUAUCUUUUAGAUCAGAUAGACCGGGUACCAUUUGUGGAUACACCUUUACAUAUAGCAGCAUCGAUGGGGCAUGUCAACUUUGCCUUGGAGAUUAUGAGAUUGAAGCCAUCAUUUGCAAGAAAGCAAAACCAAUAUGGGUUUAGCCCUUUGCAUCUUGCUUUGCAGAAUUCACACACUCAAAUGGUGCUUCGGCUCAUAGAUGUCGAUAGAAAUCUUGUUCGUGUCCAAGGAAGGGAGGGUGUAACGCCUCUACACUAUGUGGCUGAGUGAAGAAAAUAUGAAACGAAGUGUUUGGCUUAAAAGAAAAUAACAGAGAAAAUAAUCUUCUGAUUUUCCAGAACUUUUAUUUUCAUAUAAAGAAUGAUUACAUCACUUCUAUUUAUACUAACUAAACAAUAACUAAUUAAGAAUCAACUCCAGCUAAUCAUUUUUUCAGUACACACUGUGAGUAAUAACAAACUUUAACUAAUUAUGCUAAGCUAGCAGUCUGGACUGUUGCGUUGCUUAACAGCUUCUGAUAGUUUGACUUGAGUUGACCCAAGCUUUGUUUUCUCAUGCUCUGCAUAAUGUGCUUCCUUAACACUGAGAAGGGAAAUGUCGAUCUUCUAUAUAAAUUUCUAGCAGCUUGCCCAGAGUCUAUCCUGCAGGUGACAAUUCGAAAAGAAACUGCUCUGCAUGUUUUUUUCGAAAUAUUAGAGGGACUUUUAUCCAUAUGUCUAAACGUUGUGAGUGUGUUAGUCUUUUUCCCUAUUUACAAGUACAAUUGUAAAUUUAUUUUCCCAUUCUUCUUCCCUUCUCUUCAAAAUUCAGCCCGAUUUUCUCCAUUUAAUCAUUCGCAUCUACAACAUUGCAAAUCUAGAAUUAGAAUUAAAAAUUCUUAUGAUUUUCCAAUACCAAUAAGUCAGUAAAUCAACUAUUAUAGUCAAAACCAAACCCUAAAAUAAAAUUAUCAUUUUUUUCCUUCAUCCUGUUCUCAAAAGGGGUUAUCUUUGUUGCUAGGCAUGUGGUGUUUAACGAAUCAGAAUUUCCUUUCUCUACGGAUCCUCAAUUCUCUAAGCAAUCUUCUACCUCUGUUUCCGAGUAUAGACAUCCUAUGUUUAAAACUUCUUCUGUGUUAGUUCUGCUACAUGAUCCUUCAGGCUCAAGUGACAACACUGUACAACAGCUUCAGCUCCAUGCAGUUCCAGCUUCCUCUUCUUCCUCUAGUUCUUCAUCAUCAUCACCUUUACCUCCAAAUCCAUAUUUCCCUGAUCCUUAUCACAAUAUGUCCCAUAAUUCCCAACACUCUUCUUCUUCUACAUCUAUUGUGCCUAUUCCACAGCCUUCUGUCCCUGCUCAUGUACCAUUGGCAACUCAUCCAAUGGUUACAAGAGCAAAAGCAGGAAUAUUUAAGCCAAAGUUUCUUGCAUAUUCUUUUGUUCUUGAAGAACAUGAACCUGCUACAAUUUCUCGAGCUCUCUCAAAUCCUAAACGGAAAGCAGCAAUGCAGGCUAAGUAUGAUGCACUCAUGAAAAAUGAAACUUGGGUUCUUGUUCCAACCUCUCAAGCUACUAAAGUUGUUGGUUGUAAAUGGGUGUUUCACAUUAAGUAUAAUGCAGAUGGCUCUAUAUCUGAGUACAAAGCUCGUUUGGUUGCAAAUGGGUUUCAUCAAACCCCUGGUAUUGAUUACUUUGAGACUUUUAGUCCAGUGGUUAAGCAAUCUACUAUGAGAAUUGUACUUAGUCUUGCUGUUAUGAAGAGCUGGAAAAUAAGGCAGAUAGACAUCAACAAUGUUUUCCUUAAUGGGCAGCUCAAUGAAGAUGUUUACAUGUUUCAACCUGAGGGAUUUGUCUAGCUUUCAUCUGGUCAUGUUUGUAAAUUGCUUAAGGCUCUUUAUGGUCUAAAACAGGCUCCUAGAGCCUGGUUUGAUUGGUUAAGGAAAGCAUUGUUGAAGUGGGGGUUUCAGAGCUCAAGAACAGAUUCAUCUUUAUUCUUUAAACAUGAACUUGGAGGUAUUGUUGUUGUGUUGAUAUAUGUUGAUGACAUUCUUAUUACUGUAGAUAAUAAUACAGUGAUUGAAAGGUUCAUCAAAUAUCUUGGAGAUACUUUUGCUUUAAAAGACCUUGGUGAAUUCAAUUACUUCCUUGGUAUUGAAGUUACUCAAGGUACAGAGGACAACUUACAUCUCUCACAAGCCAAAUAUGUAAGAGAUUUGCUCACAAAAACUGCAGAGAAAGUGAUACUCCAAUGAGUACAAGACAGAAACUAAGAAGAGCAAGAAAUGAAGAUAAUUUGAUUGUUAAUGUUACUGAAUAUAGAAGCAUAAUAGGUGCAUUGUAGUAUUUGGUACUCACAAGGCCAGAGCUUGCUUUCUCAGUAAACAAGUUGAGUCAAUUUCUUGCUGCAUCUACAGAGAAGCAUUGGACUGCUUGUAAGAGAAUUCUAAGAUACUUAAAGACAACUGAGGAUUAUGGCUUGCUAUUUAAACCAGGUGGUGGUGUUGUCUUAACUGCAUAUACUGAUGCAGAUUGGGCAUGUGAUGUUGAUGAUAGGAAAUCAGUUGGAGCAUAUUGUGUUUAUCUUGGGCAAAAUCUUAUUUCAUGGUCUUCUGAGAAGCAACAAACAAUAGCUAGAUCUAGCACAUAAUCAAAAUAUAGAGCAUUAUCAACAUCAUGUGCAGAAAUCGUUUAGGUUCAGGCUUUGCUUGGUGAACUUAAUAUUAAGUGCAAUCAAACACCAAUAAUCUGGUGUGACAACAAUGGUACUGCUGCAUUGACAACAAAUCCAGUAUAUCAUGCUAAAACCAAGCACAUAGAAUUAUAUGUACAUUUCAUAAGAGAGAAUGUGACAAAUAAACAAGUGGAAAUCAAGUAUGUGCCUAGUGAAUGGAAUAUUGCAGAUGUGCUUACAAAGCCUAUGGCUUACUGCUUUUUUAAUUACUGUAGGACAAGCUUAAUGUUGUUUCAUGACCGUUAAGCUUGAGGAGGAGUGUUAAGAUGCUUAAUCAACAGCAGUAGACCAGUGGCUGAGAUUUGUGCGACAAGGAUUGCUGAGCUGGACAAAUUAGUUAAGUUGUUGUAAUUAGUUUUAGUUUAGCCAAUAGAUGUAUUACAGUUGUACAAAAGGUUGUUAUUACUGUUGAUCAACAAUAUAAGUUUGCUACGAGCUAAAUGUAAUUCAUAUAAUUCAUAUCAAUAAAAUUUUCUCUGAUUUAGUUACUUUUCUUUCUUCUUUCCGUCACUUUCCUACUAACCAAACAAACUAUCAACCUAAGAUCCGUGAGUUCUAACUUUUACAAAUGUAAUAAUUACCAUGAAUUUACAAAAACUUGCAGCAAAUAUUUGUGUCCCAAUAGGUUGACAAUUGCAACACAUAUCGAAAAACUGUAAUAGUACCCUUCAUUAUAAUUACUUGACCAUAGUCAGUGGCGAACUAUGUAUACGCCUGGCAGCCGAGGUGUCGAGAAUUUAAUUUAACAGGGGUGCCUAAGUUCAAACACUAACAUAAUUUAAAAAAUGGUCAAUAAAUAACAAAUAUUAAAAUAUUUAGGGCUAGUUUGGUAAUCUUAUAACUUUUAAAAUAAUUGUUGUUACUUUCGCUGUAAAAAUAAUAAGUUGUGAAUAGAAUUAGUUAAACGUUUGACAAAAUUUCUUCUUAAAAGUGCUUUUGUAAAUCUCAUUGUUGAACUAUUAUAAGAGUUUAAAUGAUUAAAAUGGACAUAAUAUUAAAUAAAAUAUAUUAUAUAGAUAUAAAUACAUACAUAUAAUAUUUUUUAUUAUGUAUAUUAGUAAUUGAUAACUAAAUAAUUAUCUUUAUUUUAUUAAUUAUUUUUUAUCUCAAUAUAAUUAAUAAUAAUAAUAAUAAUCUCUAGAUUUAAUAAUUUUAUUUCCUAAUUGAAUAAGAAUAAUUUUAGAUUUUUAUAAUAUAUGUAAGGAUAUAUAUGGAAUUUUAUUAAUUAGAAAACUUAUCCUAAAAAUUAGAUUUUGAAAGCCUACUUCUUUUUUGCUUUCCAAAAUAUACUGUAUAUAAGAUACAGUGAUUUUACCGAAAGUGAUUUAAAAAAAAAAAAUCUACCAAACAGUAAAAUUAAAGUUUAACUUUUAAAAUCACUUUUAAGUCUCUCAAAACUAAUCCCAAAUAGGCCCUUAUUUCAAUACAAUUAUAAUUGUUCUCAUGUAUUUUCAUAUGUUAAAAAUAUUGAAGAAUAACCUCAUUAUCAUUACUACAAACAUAUUUUCUUCUACGUAUACAAUAAAACUAUCAUUCAACAAUUGGUUUCCCAUAUGAUUUUGUGGAAGCUUUUUCAGAAAAUUCAUAGCUGAAAAUACCCUUUCUAAUUUAGUUGUGUUACUUGAUAAAAUCAUUGCUAAUGUUACCAACAUAUAAAUUAAUGAAUACAACUAUCCAUUAUCUCAACCAUUUUUCUUGCUAACUCACCAGUCUCUUUUAAUCUUAAAAAUGUUGUCAAAACCCACAUUCAUAAUAUAAUCAUCAAGUUGAAUUUCAAGUGCCAUAAUGCAACAAUCUUUCUUUAUGGGUUCAAAGUGUUAAAAAGAAUAUUUAAUAUUUUACUUGUUUUUAAAUUUUAACAAGGGCGUUAUGGUAAAUCAAAUAAAAAUAGGACAAAUAUUAAAAUAAAUUUUAAAAAAUUAAAAAAUUGAAAAAGGGUUUCAGCCCCUGUUAAAAUGGCACCACAUCUAAAGCCUAGGGUGCCUUGAGGCAACAUACCAAUAAUAAUAAUAAAGAAAGAAAUCAAGAAAAAAGAGACAUAAUAAUAAGUAGUAACAUUAGCAAUGUUAAUUAUAUUUUAUGUUUUGACCCCUAUAAUUUUACAAGUUGAUUUUAUGUUACCGCCUACUCAAAUUUAUGGUUUUGGUCAUUGUGUUUGGCCCUCUCAAUUUUAGUGAUUCUAUACUGUAUGAAAUGUAAGUUAUGCAACCCAAGAGGGGGGUGAAUUGAGAUUUUAAAACUUACGCUAAACAAUUCGCACAACAAUUUAAUGUAUUGCCUUAAUCAAAUGUAAAAACAAUAAAUUCAGUAAAGCACAAUACUAAAAGAGUAAGUACAAUAAUAAAAGAGUAAGGGAAAAGAAAGCAAACACAACAAUUUUUACGUGGUUCGGCAAUCCCCGCUUACGUCCACGCCUCCAAGCCAACCAAACUCGAGGAUUUCACUAUCAAAGCCUCCCCAAAGCUUUAAGUUCUUACAAUUAACUUCCAAGGUGUCAAUGAACCUUUACAAUGAAGAGAUUAUCUCCCCAAUCUAUUCACCUGAAGUGUUUCUCACACUUGUACACUUACAAUUUGAUGAGAAAUGAACAAUUACAACAAAAACUCUCUUUAAGAGUGGAUUUACAAAUAAUAGCAUAAUAAUAAUUCAAUAAAUGAUGAUUUACGAAAUGGAACCUCAAUAUGUGUUAUAUGAUCUUAUUUAUGCUUGCAUUAGUCUUGAAAAUGAAAAUGGAGUUAAGGUUUUAUAGCUAAAGCCCGAAAACUAACCGUUAUAGGCAAAUUCCAGCGCUCAAGCGGUUAGCCGCUUGAUUUAUCCAGCUAGCCGCUCCAGAACAAUGAUGUUACCAUUAAAUUUGAAUUUUGCUACAAUAUCAUUGUUCAUUAAAUUACAUUUGUGACCAAAACUUUGUAUAAUUAUAUUAUAGCCCAACAUGUCAUAAAACUUUGCAAAUAAGUCUAAUUUCAGAAUUUCUAAAUAAUACCUGUCAUUCCUAAAUCUUAUUGUAAUUAUGAUAUGACCUAGUAUAUAAUAACAUUUUUCAAAAAGGUCCUUUUCAAAAUUUAAAAUAAUACCCAUAAAUUUUAAAGUUCUCAAAUCUUUUCAAUUUAGUCCAAAAUUUGAAAAUAUGAGACUUUCCUCAGGUGGUUAGCUGCUCACUCUCUGUCCAAUUUUUUAUUUCAAUUGUUUGUAUUAUGUUUGGGUCCUCAAACUUUCUUAAAUUGUAAUAUGACCCAAAAUAUUUCAAAUAUUUGCAAAUAAAUCUAAAUUCAAAAUUCAAAAUUCAAAGCAAUAUUUAAUAAAAUAAAAGAUUGCAAAACUUUUUCAUUUUAGUCCAAAUUACUCAAAUCCACAAAAUACUUUAUGUUAUAAAUAUAAAACCUUUUAGUUUAUGAAAGGUAAUUAUUUAAAUAAACUCUUGAGUUUCUCAAAUGCUAAAUCAUGCAUCAAUUAAAUCAUACCGACUUUACAAGAAUUUGUCACAAUAAUUUGUCUGUUGAGCUCUAAACUUAUUCUUGAUUUUGCCGUUGUCCGUUGAGUGUCUUGAACUUGAUUCACUUGCAUAAAUAUUAUCCUUAAAAAACUAGUAAAAAUGUGAAAUACAAUAUUUAUUAAAUCACUUAAGACACAUAUUUGUUAUCAUCAAAAUUAUAUUAUGGAUAGCCCUUUAGGGUAACAUUGUGGCUUACUCAAGUAUAUAGUUUCUUCAUUCGGCCCCAAAACCAAAAUCCUAAGAGUAUCUCCAAAAAGUUCUAUUAAUUUUACUCUUCAAAUAUUUAUUUGCUUAUCUAUGUGGUAAAAAGGAGAGUGAAAAAAUAUGUUAUUCUCCAAAAGACUCUUUAAAUAGAAAUAAGUUAAUAUUAUUUUAAUCAAAUAAAUAUUUUUUCAAAGGAAAAAUAAAUGGUAAUUAAAGCAUUUCUCUCUCUCUUUCUCCCCAAUAAAAAAUAAUAAAAUAUAAAUUGAAGAGAGAGAAAGUAACUCUACAAAUUGAAGAGAGAGAAUUAUUUCUUAUUUGAAAAAUCUUAAUUAGAGUAUAUUUUGAAGUCUUAAAUACUGAUGUAACUCUUCAAAUAAGUAAUAAAAUCUUAUUUGAAGAUUUUUUUGGAUAUGCUCUAACUUCACCACUAGAUUUACUUGAGUAUUCAACAAUACCCGACUUACUUGAGCGUAGAUGAUUUAGUUAUACUUAAUUGACUACUAAAACAAUUUAUUCAACUUACUCGACGAUACUUUACUUAGCUCACUCCAUGUACUAAUAUUUUACUAUUUUUCUAAGUGGUACAUUUAAUUACAAAAAUCCAUGAAAAUUUGAUAAUGAUGAAAUGCUUAAUAAAUAAGGGUAUUUGGUCAAAUCAUAACAAUGUUUGUUAAACACUGGUCUAAUAAUAAGUAGUCAUUUUCUGAUGAAAUAAAAUUAAAGCUGAAAAAAUUUAACAUGACUGGUUUACUCUAUACAAAUACAAUAUGAAUAAAUAUGUAUCUAUCAUGAAAAUUGACAUGAUUAUUAAAUGAAUUUGGUCUAAGUCAACCCAAUUGUUUCCCGUGUCAGGCUAGAAUUCAAUUUUUCAAUGCAUUUACUUGGUCAAUGACGUGAUUAUUAAUUAGUUAACCAAAACUAAUUCAUAUUUGCAUUAAAAUAUACUUAUAUUUUCAAUUCUAAAUUAAUUUAUAGAAUCUUAUCAUUAAAACUCAAAAUUUGGUCAUGAUUCUAGUGAACAUAUAUUUGAUGUUCUAUUUUGUAAAAUUCUUGAUAGAUUUAAAACUUCAAUGGUUCAUACAUGUUGUAUUUGCAUCAAAUGAGUGUGUAGUAUUUGAUGUAAAUCGUGUUAGAAUUUAAAUAGGUAUUCAGUGAAUUUUUAGGUUAAAUCAUGUUAGAUGACACAACUACCUAGUCAUUAAAAGAGCGUAUCAAGUCACUAUUUUAUUUUUCGUAUCGAGUUCAAGUUUUAAUAUUUUAACAUUUUAUUUUUCGUAUCAAGUUUAAGUUUUAAUAUUUUAACACAAUUAUUAAAUAAGUCGUGUUUUAACCAACAUAAAUUUAAAACAACACAAAAUUGACACAAUAUGAGUGGCUUAAUGACCUAUUUUGUUAGUUUUAUUUAAAACCCUCUAAUCUAUAAAAAAAAAUAAAAAACGGUCCAUGGGCCUAGCCCAAAUAUAUAUCCAACAAAACCAGCUCCCGCUCAAAUCACACUCUCUCGGUCGUUCCCUUCACUCUCCAAAACCCCCCAUUCCAAACAAAACCCUCAUUUUUCCCUCUUAACGAAGUCACUUUCUCGAGAACCAAACAUUCCCUUAGAUCUCCAAUUUCAUAAUGAGAGAAGAUGAAAUAGAGAAACUUCGAGGAUUGGUUCGCGACUGUGUGAGUAAGCAUUUGUACUCGUCGGCCAUUUUCUUCGCCGAUAAAAUCGCCGCUUUGAUCAAUGACCCUACUGGCGUUUACAUGCAGGCUCAGGCUCUGUUCCUUGGCCGCCACUACCGCCGUCCAUUUCACCUCCCUAACGCCUCAAAAAUUGUGCUCCGUGACCUCCGAUUUCGUUACUUGGCUGGUAAGUGUCUGGUAAAGUUCUGUUUUUUGAUUGCAUUAGAAAAUUUGAAUUUCAGAUUUUGGGAUUUGUGCUUUUUGCGUUUUUAGUUUUUUUUUUAAUGUUAUGAAAAAGGGAAAUUUUGAAAAUUUUAACUUGAAAUUGGUGUUCUUUUUAUUUUAGAACAAAAGAAUUUCAAUGAAAAAUAUGUGGAAAUUGAAUUGCUCUAGCAAAUUUGCAUGUGUUGUGUGUUUUAAGAAAAUGAAAACUAGAUUUUAAGCAAUUAAGGAGAAAUUAUCGACUUUGAGCUGAAUGGUUUUGAUCAAUUUUUUCUUGAAUGUUUAUUUGUUUAUACAACUGGGUAGUUUUUCUUUUACUUAUUUAUUUCUGGUCUGUCCUUUGUAUAAUUAGGAGGAACUGAAGGAGUGGGACUAGUGUUUGUCGAUGCUCGGUGAUGCUAAGGUCGAUGAAGAUGGUAAUGUUUUUGACACAAAGGAUAGCAAUGUCAUGUACUUAGAUAAAGAUGGGGAAGACAGAGAAAUCAAUGUAAGUUUUUGUUUGUAAUCUCAUUUUAUCUGGCCUUUUAUUUUUUAAUUUGUUGCAUAUUUGUUGUAUACUUGACCCAAUAUUUCUUUUUUCUAUUACAGAUCUCUUCAGCUAUAUGCUUUUUGAGAGGCAAAGCAUAUGAAGCCUCAGGAAAUUGUGCCCAAGCUCGGCUGUGGUUAGUUUCUUGCGAUGAAUUUACAUGAAAAUCACUCUGCUUAAUUGUAAAAUGCUUUAUGGUUAUUUUCCCUUAGUUUUUCAGUCAAAAUGAUACCAACUUAUACUGUCUAACAGUCUUCUGUUAUAGUAACUUAGGUGUAGUAAUUUAACGUACUGUUAAAGAAAGGAAAUGACUUUAUUGUUUUAAUGGGAGAAUUUUGAACAUUGUUAUAAACUUGUUUAAGUUGGGCAUAAGUAAAUUUAUCUUCAAUUUCAUUACUGAGCAGAUUUUGUUUGAAUGCAUGAAUGUUUGAUAUAUGUGUUUAAUAGCCAAGGAGUUUGUUUAGAUACUACUUUAAGAAUUAUCUAUAUAUAGAUUGGGUAGUCUAGAAAACUCUCCUUGAUUAAAUCAAUGUAUAAUUUUGAUAAGACAGUUUAAAAUGUUAACAUCCCAUGUCUUCUGGAGUCCAUUUGGUGACACAGGAAUGGUAGUAUAUGCUGGGAUGGUUUAGUUCAAUAAGGCUAUUAGUUCUGAUCUGCUUUUUCAAAGAGGUUGAUUGCCAAAUUAACAGCCACAUGAAGGAGAUUGUCUUUUUUUUUUUUUUUUUUUGUGUAUCCUGAAUUGUUUUUGCUUCCAACCACAAUUCUGGUCUUCUAUUGGUUCACACUUCCUACUUCUAUCUCGAUGAUUUUAGCUGCAAUACCUCAUUACUAAAUUCAGCUCUAACAACAGAGGAACUUAUUUGCUUCCUCUUUAUCUUGUUCCAUUACUAGCUUUCAUGUGCAGCAUUUUUAGAAUGUUAAAGACUAAUAGUACAGAAAGGUGGUUUUAAAUCAAAUGUAACAAGAUUCAAUUGACAGAUCAGCUAUGCUUCACUCCAUGUGGUUACCUACACACCUGGAUAUUUGUUUUAGAGUUUUAUGCUGUCUGAAUUAGUGGCCUCAUUUUGUUAUCUGAUUGAAAGCUUGCAUGUAUUUCGGUAAGUUAGGUUCUUCCCUCAACUCUUUUUCUUUAGUAACUAUCAUGGUAUUGUUUUAUAACCUUAAUUAGCUUCUCUUUGGUUUUUCAUUUGUCAGUAUAUCUGCUCUAUUCUGUUCAAUUCCUUUUUCUCUAUUCUCUCAGUUAUGUUGAACUAAAACGCUAUAGUUCAUACAAAGGCUUGCUAUAUUUUUUCAUAAUGAUUUAAGGUACAAAGCAGCAAUCAUAGCUGAUCCUUUGUGCUAUGAGGUAUGCAUGACACGCUAUCAAUGUUUUUUUUUUUCCUUUCCCCCUAGGGAUAAGCUGGUGGGGGGAGCGUCCCGUUCUCAAAAACUCCUUACCUUGAAUUUUGUGGCUGCAUAAAUUUCAGACAUGACUUUCUAUGCAAAAUAUUACAACCUGUGGAAACUGUUGCCUUCUCAAGGAUUAGAAAAUUACUCAAAAGAGGGCUAGAUUUUUUGAGCUAGGCUUGUCCCUUUUUUUUUUUUUGUAAAUAGAAUUUUAAUCCUUUUCUUUAAUUUGACCUCUGCUGAUCACAUAGAUGUCUCAUUUGGAUGUUCCUUAUAAGAUAUAUCGAUUCUCAUUCUUUAUGAUUUUUUUUAUGGCUGUACCUUGAUUUCUUUUUCAGGCUUUGGAAUGCCUUAUAGAAAAUCACAUGCUAACAUGCGAGCAAGGUAAUGAUGUAGUUUUUUCCUAGUCAUCUGUUUCUUUCAUCUGAGAGAAGUGGAUUAUGAAAAUGUUUACAUUUUGAAUUAUAGUUCUUACAUAAGUGUGCACGCGCACACACACACACACACAUAAAUGAAAUUAUAGUCACACACAAACAUGUUGAUAUAAAUUUAAUUUGGCAAAAAUUUCUUUGGCUGUGUUCAACUAGCAUUGGAUCUUUCAUGGAACAUGUUAUAAUAGGCUAAUACUUUAAAUUUUUGGAUUUGCUGUUGAAUUUCAGAAACAAGUUUACUUUCAUCAUUGGAAUUUGGUUUUGAAGAUGGAUGGCUUUCUUCAUUCUACUCAUGUUUGAUAAAAAAGGUGAACUGUGUGCAAAUUCAUUAUAUGCUCUUCCAAAUGUAAACAUUUCAAUAAUAAGUUUCCCAUAUGUUUUCGUGAUGUUGAUUCUUUUUGCUGUGUUUGAGUGCAGUGAACAAUUUCUUUCCUUCUUUCCUGUCUCCCUUUGUUUUAUGCAGUAUGACAAGGAGAAUGUUGUAGAAGCCAAAUUUGGAGAAAUUGAAAAAGAAAGAUGUGAUAGUGUCCAUUCGAGCCCAUCCUUCUCACACAGUCUGAAAAACAAUACUGAUCUUUUAGAGGGCUUAUUAUUCUGUCGACCUGCGAUACUAGAUUUCAGAAAUCUUCUCUUCACACAGUGUUCUUGGCUCUCUAAUUGUCAAAAAGUUGAACAGCCUUUUUCUGUCUGAUGCAUCAUAUAUAUGCAGUUUAAUAUUUGUGGACUUCAAUAAUAUUGAUUACCUUGAUUAUAAUAUUUUCAAUUGUAUGGUUUUUGGGUUUCUUCUUGGUAGGGAAGAUUUUUGUCUUUUUCUUUUUUUGACUUGAUUCUUCUUCUUUCUUAUUAUUAUUGUUACUGUUUCCCAUUCACAAGGAAAAAAUUGGAACUUGCUCCACCUCGCAAAAGUUUUAGAGCGCAUUUAAUUCUCGAAUUGGGGAAUUGGAAUGGAGAAUGGGAAUGAUUGAUUGUGUUUACUUGCUAAAAACAUGAAAUAAUGACGAUCGAUUUUGGGUGGAGCUCACAAGUUUGGGAAUGAGGUAUUGGAAUCCCAUUGCAAUAAGAGAGGUGGGAAUGAAAAUGGGAAAAUUAACACUUUUAUCCUUAAAGAAAAUUAAAUAUUUAUUUUUUACCUUAUAUAAAUAAAUAACUAAUAAUAAUAGUCGUAGUAGUAAUAAUAGUUAUAAUAAUAAUAAUAAUAAUAAUAAUAAUAAUAAUAAUAAUAAUGAAAAUUAUAGUAUUAUCCUCAAUAUUAUAAUAAACAUGUAUAUAUUUAUUUAUUUAUUUAUUUUGUUAGUGAAAAAUGUACAAUUUUAACUAAGGGCAUCAUGAUAAUUUUCAAUAAUCCAUUUUGAUUACGAAAUAAAAUAAAUGGAUAAAUGAAAUUCAGCUCAUUCGAUUCUUAUAUUUCAAGUAAAUAAUUUAUUAUGGUUCUCAUUUCUUAUUCCGAUUCCAGAUUCCAUCCCAUUUCAAUUCCUAAUCAUUUUGAUUCAUGGGAAGUAAACGCACCGUUAAUUUGUCGCUCUUGUUAAAUAUAUCCUUUGUGGAUUUCAUAUGAGGUUUGAAAUGUUAUUUAGUGAAAUUUAAUUUCUUGUUGGCUCUAUUCACCACAGCAAGGCUACAAAUCUUGAUGGGACAUUCGCCCCCGCUUGGAUAGGUUAUGGAAAUGCUUUUGCUGCUCAAGAAGAGGGUGACCAAGCAAUGUUGGGUUAUCGCACUGCUGCUUGUUUGUUUCCAGGGUAAUUUUUAGCAUUAUUUAUUCAUUUCUGUACCUUCCUGAUUUUCUUUUCCUUGGAUCAGCAUAUUCAUGCAAUGAGGACAAGGACAAAGCCACUAACUUGCUUUUGAGCAAGUUUCAGGACACUUUUAGAAUUUCAUUUUUGGCUUUUUUAAAAAAAAAUUUUGGUCUCUGAAAGAUAUCUUAAGGGUAGGGUUUGGUUGUUUUUGCUCAUCUUGAUAUUAUUCAAUUCUUGUUCAAUUUGAAGAACAGUGUGCUUUGGCUGUAUAAUCAUGUGGGUAAAAAAAUUUUUUGGUCCCUCAAGUUUCUAUUAGGUUUCAUGUAAUCCAUGAAAUUUCAGUUGCUUCAGCUUAAUCUGUUUCAAGUGCGCUACACUAAAAAACUUGGGUGUCAUGGGUUAUCAACCAAGAUUUUUUUUUUCUCCUUUGAUUUAAUAUUAAUAAACUGUUUUACCAAUAUAGACUUUUGAUGAAUGCUUCGCAUUUGAUUUCCAUAUUUCUUCCUGAGAAAUGUUGUAAGUUGAUUAAACAUAGUCUUAAAUCGACCCAAGGCAUUGUUGUAAUGUCUUUCUAUUUUGAUAAUAAACCACACUGUCAUAGUAGUUUUAUGGUCGUAAAGAUCAAUGAAUUUCAUUGUUUAUUGUUUAGUGAUGGUAUGCAUUGUGUUGUGGGAGUACUCUUAUCACUAUGAAUUGUCUUUUUACAGGUUGAAUCUUGAUGUUCUCUUAUUCCAGGUGCCAUUUACCAACUUUGUAUAUUGGAAUGGAGUACAUGCGAACUCACAGCUUUAAGCUUGCCGAACAGGUGUAUUACCUUCUUCUAAAUAUAGGCUGCCUUUCAUUUCUCUUUAGAUUUCAGUGAGAACUCUUAAGAGGUUGUUUGUUUGCAAUAUGAAGUCUGAUUGUUGGAUAUUCAGAUGUUGGUCUAUACGAUUUGCUAGUUGAUGUUGUCUUGGGGGUUUCAUUUUCCUCUUUGGAUUUAAUGUGAAUACGACUUCUUUCCUCUUUGUUUAAUUGAUGUCCAAUCCAUAUCCAAUCUACGAUUUUACGGAUUAUAAAUUUUCAAUCCAAUUCAAUUCACGGAUUGAUGAAAUUCAAUUCAAAUCCAAAUUCAAUUCAUACAUCUGCAGAUCGGAUGCGGAUUUGAUCAAAUCCAUAUCCAAUCCAUCAUUUUGCGGAUUGGUUUGCGGGCUGAAAAUUUUUAAUUCUGUCAAAUCCACGAACUAACUAAAUAUAAAAAUAAUUUUACUACCGAUCAAAUUUAAAAUUAAAUAAGAUUUAAAUAAUUAAUUGUUUAAAUAAAGCUAGAAAAUACAUUUACAGUUUUAAAAUAUAACACACCAAAAUGAAAAAAAUCUUAUUCGUUUAGAUCAGUACAUUUUUUUUAUGCGAAUACCACUCUAUUGGUGGGGGGCUUAGGCGGGACCCCUACUUUUCAUUUAGAACAGAUAAUGAAGAUUACAUGUGGAGGGGGACAUAAACCAAACCUCCAAUCUAGAGAAAUAAAUAUAACAGUAAAAGAAAUGAUUUAGGCAUAGCCUAACAUAAGAAGAAAAAGAGUAAUGCAGACGGUGACAAUAUCUCUUACGAUACUUGCGGCCGGCAAGUAAUUUAAUGCCCUUUUUCGAGUGACUGACAACACUAAAAUCAAGGCUAGAGUCAAUUCUCUCAGAAUUCUCAGGAGCAGACAGAAAAUAGUCAUUAUUCGCCAAAUGUUUGUUAGAACUAUCAUCAUUAUCAGUAUAAGAACUGUAAUGCCUAAAAUAUGUGCUGGAUGCUCGAUGAAGCUAUGUAUUAUAUUCACCUAGUUCUCGGAUCCUAGAAUCAGGAGUCGUGACAUCCUGGCCAAUCGGCUCCUGAAUGGAAGUAGAGUUUGUAGCGUUAACUCGGUUCUCUUAGGUACAAUCGGAGACCCCACAUCUGCAAUUUGCUUAAUGAUGGAAGGCUAAAGUCGUGGAGUAUCCAAGGGUUGUGGAGUAUCUGACGGCAAAACUUCUAACUUCUUAUUAUCUACUCUAGUUUGCCAAUUCCCACUGGGCCGCUGGGGAAGGACCCCUGGAUUGGCCACGGAACACGUCUCAAUGGUAUGGCCAAGGCACUUGUAGGAAGCACAGUAGAGUGGGAUUUUCUAAAAAAUUAUACUCUGCCAAAAUCCAGAAUCUCUCACACCGAUUUAGAUUCGUGACAACAGAGUUGAGUGACAUUAUUCUUCACUAACACCCUACUUACAGAAGGGCGAGCUAAAAAGGCAGUAGCUUGGUCAAUUCGUAAUGGCUUACCAAUAGAUGAUGUAAUAGAAAAUAAUGCUUCCUUACAGUGCAUAAAAUGGACAAGCAAGUAAGGAAUUGAAAUCCAUACUGGGACUAUAGAGGACUCCUUGGAAAAUCAAAAAUCGGUGGUUUAUUUAAAAAUUCUCAUUGCACUCUCAUUGAUGUACCAUGUCUGUCUAACCCGUAGGCGGGAGUAGUCCUCCUCAACAUCCAAUUGAAUUAACACAUGUCGAUUAUCUAAAAAGGACAUCUUGGAAAUUCCCUUCAAUCUCAUAGUAUUAAAAAAUUUACAAAUUAAUUCCAUACUAGGUCUAUUGUAGGAAAAUUUACCUACCAAUGUCCGCAGUGGAAAAUUGUACUUUAGGCUCUCCCUCGAAUAAAGUGACGAUCUUGAUUGGAAUAGACAAGCUAGUUGGGUCGUUCAUAAUAUCCACCAAAGAUUUUUUAGUGGGUUUAUUUUGAUUCAGAUUGGGGAUGGAUUUCAAAACCGAGGUAUAAGAAGGUACGUAUGUGGGCUGAGUGGUAUUUUGGAUUAACGGAUCAUUUUGGGGGUUAUUUAAUAAGAUUGGAGAGGGCAUUCGGGAGGGCUGGGUGUUGGGGUUUAUUUCGAAAAUGGAUUGGGCUUGGGUUUGACUAGUGGGAAAGGUUAAUGGGGCAUGGGAAGAGCUAGUGGUAGACACACAUGAGGAACACAAUUCAUGUGCUACCGAAAGUGUCUUAUGAGCAUGGGAAUUACACGCGUGCAGACUUUUGAGCUGAUGUUGGGUGGAUGUUUGCUGACCUUGGCUGGGUUCUGUGGUGGUUGCUUGCAGCUGACUUUCGGUUGACAGCUGCAGCUGGACGUGAGCUUGUGAUUUGCAUGGGGUUUUUUUUGUUGUGUGGGAGUUAUUUGUGUAGGUAGUGAUUGUGGCUGGCUGGUGGUUGUAUCUUGGACCGAAUCUUGAGACAAAUGGCCAUGGAGUACGGGCUGGUUUUGAUGGUGUAUAGGGGCUGUGACAGCAGGAUGAACUCUCGAAUAGUGUGUGGUUUGUGUUGGCUACGGGCUAGAGGCUGGUGGCUGGUUGGUUUGAGAUGAAAACCCAUUCACCAAGUUUGGUGGUGAAAGCUUGGAGUUGGCUGUUGAAGGGGUGACGAUGGCAGUUGGAGAUGGUUGUUGAAGGGACGACGAUGGCGGUGUGUUUGCGGAAGUUGAGGGUUGUUGGGGUUGGGCUGGCGUUUGACUCCUGUAUUUUGAGCGAGUUUGCCUUUGGGAUCUCCUAAGAAAAGAAUGUUCAUUUAUGGAAGUAAGGGGAGGAGCAGAUGGUGGCUGGCUGCCAUUAUCGUCAGCCGGCGAGAUAAGAAUCGACUUGUCUCGAGCAUUGGUUUCUUCCCCUUCUUCUAGUGAAUGGAGGGGUGAUUUUGCUACCUCACGGCAGCAUUCAUAGUCAUUGAUGCCACCAUUGAUUACCAUUUCUUUUUGCUCACUUGCGGCAUUAGGUGUGAUUGAAGGUUGUUGAAGUUUCGAGAGGAUAGCGGCAAUGGACAAUGGUGGUUGGUUUGCAUGGGGUUGGAUUUGAGAUGGAGGGUCUGCAUGAGAGUGGUUUGGUUGGAUUCGCGGUGGUGGCAACUGGACGUCCGGUGGCAGUUCAUUGGUGAAUUUUGGGGGUCGUCUAAAUGAUUUUUUAGGAGGGUUCAAACUCCUGAUAAUUUGUUCUUCUGCAGAGAGGGUGUAGACCGGUGAUGGCCGGUUGCCAUCAUCGGCGGCCGGAGAGGCCAUUAAGGCCGUUUAAGGCUUUUGAGGGGGGAAGGGGGAGACAUGUAGUUGAUAUUAGCAAUUAGAUUAGUGCAUGGAACUUAACUAUUUUAGAAGUUAUAUUUGUUUAUUUAGUUAUUUUUAUUUUAUAUUAUUAUUGGAUAAGAUAUAAUAUAGUGUUAAUAUAACUAUAUUUUAACUUAUUUAUUUACUAGUAAGUACUAAUAUUAUAUUUACAAGUUUUAUUUUUUAAUUAAAUAAAUACUUUUUAUUUUUUUACGAAUUUGCGGAUUUUUGCGGAUUUAUAGAAAUAGAUCCAUAUCCAAUCCAUCGAUUUCGGAUUAUCAAAUUUUCAAUCCAAUCCAAUCCAUCAAUCCACGAAUCGGAUUUUUACGGAUCAAACGGAUUGAGCGGAUCGGAUUGUGAACACCCCCGUACGAAGGACCCCUGAUAUUGAUGUCCAUACAUCCGAAUAAAUUUUCUUUAUGAGGAGUCUACGUCAUGAUUUCUACGUCACGAAUUCUCCAAAAUAUGAUGUCUCUCACUCUUAUCUCUCACUCUUAUUUAAGGCAAACCUCAUAGAGGCAAAUACAGAACAUGAAGAAAAUUAAUUUUGUUCCUAGUCCUCACUAUCUAAAAAGAAUUUUCGUUGAAGCUAUAUAUAUAUAUAUAUUGAAUCUUUUGAAAAAAAUUGCUUCCUGAGCAUAUGAUUUCUUGCUGGUUAAUUUUAAAAUAAAAAUUAUUUUGACUAUUAUAUAAAAGUUAAUUUUAAUAUUAUUAAUAGAGAGAUUUUUUAAAUUGUAAAAUCUAUUUAACCCAAAGAUUAUUUAAAAUCUUUUUAAUAUUACAAUUAUAUUAUUAAAAUAAAUAUAAUAAUUUAAAAUUUUAAUAUUAUUUUAAAUGUAAAAAAUAAUUUAAUAUUAUUAGUCUACCAAAUAGAUUUAUAUUAUUUAUAUAAAAUUUGUGUUAGUUAAAAAAAUUUAAAAAUCAAAUUUUUAAUUAAUAUAAUCAAAAGUUAUUGUGGGCAAAAAAAAGUUUUUGUAUCUUUUUUUUAGGAUUUAAAGAGUUUUUUAUAACUAUUUUCCCAAAUCUUAGAAUGUCGUUAUUCUUUUUCUUUUUUUAUCCCAUCUCAGUUUUUUUACAAGUAUUCAAAUAUUAGCACGUGAAAUAUAUUUUAAAAUAUCCAUCAAUUUAUUAUUUCUUAAAGUACCUUUUAUUAAUAAAUAGCAUAAUACACACGAAGGACCAUUGAUAUUGAUGUUCAUACAUCCGAAUCAAUUUUCGAGUCUACGUCAUGAUUUCUACGUCACGAAUUCUCCAAAUUAUGAUGUAUAUCUAUUCUUUCCCCUUUUGGUAAACAUAUCUCACUCUUAUUUAAGGCAAACCUCAUAGAGUCAAUCACAAAACAUGAAGAAAAUUGAUUUUGUUCCUAGUCCUCACUUUCUAAAAAGAAUUUUCGUUGAAGCUAUAUAUAUAUAUAUAUUGAAUCUUUUGAAAAAAAUUGCUUCCUGAGCAUAUGAUUUCUUGCUGGGUUUCUUCAAUUGCUCUUCUUGUUCAGUUGUUAAAGCUUUCCAGUUUCCUCUCUGUCGUUCAAAGAAUAUUUGAUCAUUGAAGUGUCACCUUCGUAGUGUUAAUUUCGGUGAUGGAGUCCGCUGCUCAAGUGAGGGAUGUCGAUGCUUUGUAUGAGCUAAUUCAACAUGAUCGAUAUUUUUUGGACAACUUCGACGAGAAACCUUUUGUCGAUACUCCUUUGCAUGCUGCUCCAAGGGAUGGAAAUGUUGAAUGGUCCAUGGAGAUUAUCAGACUAAAGCCAUCAUUUGCCAGGAAGCUAAACCAAGAUGGCUUCUCUCCGGUGCAUUUAGCUUUGCAAAAUGAUCAAACUCAGUUAGUGCUUCAGCUGAUAGAUAUUGAUCUGGACCUUGUUCGUGUCCAAGGAAGAGAAGGCAUCACUCCUUUGCAUUUCGUGUCUGAAAAAGGAGACAUCCAUCUGCUGAGGGAAUUUUUGUCUGCUUGUCCGAAAUCUCUUGAAGAUGUGACGAAUAAAGGCGAGAC